UUGGAUAAGUCCUCCAACAUCUCAACUAACUCCUCCUACCUCUCAGUCGAUGGUGACACAGCUUGAAAUCCUGGUAGAGGCAGUGAUAGAUGCUGAGGUGGCGGCGGCAUUAAAAUUUGCUGAGGAAUUCAGUGCCGAGCCGAGCUUCACAACCGCUGCAGGGUACAAAAAUCCGGAGAAAGAAAAAGAAAUUAUGGAGGAGCUGAGGAAAAAGUGUUAUCAUUGGAUGACACAUAUAAAGAAAACCAAAGAUACUACCAAUGGAUAUAAUGCCAUAUUGGUCUUGAACCAUGAAGCGCAUUUGGAGGGGCUUAGAGCCUUAGACAUCAUUUCUUGACUCUAAUGCCCGAAGAAGAUGUAGAAAAUACGGUGGUCAAUGCAGUGUGUAUGAUUCUCGACGACAAAAAAUGUUGUUGGUUUCAGGAAGAAAUAUACUGUGUGCCGACGGAUAUUGUGAUGUUUAUGUGGGAACCCAUGGCGAGAAAUAUAUUGAUCCAAAUACCAACAAGGCCUACCGGAUCGAUAUCGAUCAAUAUGCGCACUACCACUGUUUUCUUGGCAAAAGAAAACUGGCAUCACAUCCAUUUGACAUUGGUGGUUGUGGAUUGCCGAUAUCAACAAGAAAGCAUUCUAUGUUCUUGACCCUGUUAACAAAAAGAAAG
Long non-coding RNA from Arachis stenosperma, 662 nucleotides. RefSeq lists it as uncharacterized. The transcript has 4 exons. The record is from RefSeq and is a predicted model, not a curated record. NCBI's taxonomy places the organism in Eukaryota, Viridiplantae, Streptophyta, Magnoliopsida, Fabales, Fabaceae.